AACGGGUGAGUAACGCGUGAGGAACCUGCCUCAAANAGGGGGACAACAGUUGGAAACGACUGCUAAUACCGCAUAAGCCCACGGUGCCGCAUGGCACAGAGGGAAAAGGAGCAAUCCGCUUUGAGAUGGCCUCGCGUCCGAUUAGCUAGUUGGUGAGGUAACGGCCCACCAAGGCAACGAUCGGUAGCCGGACUGAGAGGUUGAACGGCCACAUUGGGACUGAGACACGGCCCAGACUCCUACGGGAGGCAGCAUG
RNAcentral lists this ribosomal RNA (256 nucleotides) under uncultured bacterium. RNAcentral describes it as "partial 16S ribosomal RNA". It matches the Rfam family "Bacterial small subunit ribosomal RNA", at positions 101 to 353 of the family's 1533-position model. The record is from RNAcentral.